Molecule: unclassified non-coding RNA, 309 nt
Filed under: plant metagenome
Description: partial contains 5.8S ribosomal RNA, internal transcribed spacer 2, and large subunit ribosomal RNA
Rfam family: 5.8S ribosomal RNA (bases 1-105)
Source: RNAcentral
GAAAUGCGAUAAGUAAUGUGAAUUGCAGAAUUCAGUGAAUCAUCGAAUCUUUGAACGCACAUUGCGCCCGCCAGUUUUCUGGCGGGCAUGCCUGUUCGAGCGUCAUUUCAACCAUCAAGCCCCCGGGCUUGUGUUGGGGACCUGCGGCUGCCGCAGGCCCCGAAAACCAGUGGCGGGCUCGCUGUCACACCGGGCGUAGUAGAUUUUUCGUCUCGCCCAGGGCGUGCUGCGGGUUCCGGCCGUUAAAAAGCCUCUCUUUUAAACCAAGGUUGACCUCGGAUCAGGUAGGAAGACCCGCUGAACUUAAGC